CUACGGGUCGCAGCAGUGGGGAAUAUUGGACAAUGGGGGAAACCCUGAUCCAGCAAUGCCGCGUGUGUGAAGAAGGCCUGCGGGUUGUAAAGCACUUUCGGUUGGGAGGACUGCUUCUAGCACUAAUAUUGUUGGAAGUUGACGUUACCUUCAGAAGAAGCACCGGCUAACUCCGUGCCAGCAGCCGCGGGAAUACGGAGGGUGCAUGCGUUAAUCGGAAUUACUGGGCGUAAAGCGCGCGUAGGCGGCUAGAUCAGUCGGGUGUGAAAGCCCCGGGCUUAACCUGGGAACUGCAUCCGAUACUGGCUAGCUUGAGUACAGGAGAGGUGAGUGGAAUUCCACAUGUAGCGGUGAAAUGCGUAGAUAUGUGGAGGAACACCAAUGGCGAAGGCAGCUCUCUGGCCUGAUACUGACGCUGAGGUGCGAAAGCGUGGGGAGCAAACAGGAUUAGAUACCCCAGUAGUC
RNAcentral lists this ribosomal RNA (465 nucleotides) under uncultured bacterium. RNAcentral's name for it is "partial 16S ribosomal RNA". It matches the Rfam family "Bacterial small subunit ribosomal RNA", at positions 339 to 795 of the family's 1533-position model. The record is from RNAcentral.